This 358-nucleotide ribosomal RNA is filed under the name Eleutherodactylus patriciae. RNAcentral's name for it is "partial 12S ribosomal RNA". It matches the Rfam family "Bacterial small subunit ribosomal RNA", at positions 871 to 1384 of the family's 1533-position model. Lineage: Eukaryota; Metazoa; Chordata; Amphibia; Anura; Eleutherodactylidae. The record is from RNAcentral.
GCCAGGGAACUACGAGCCAAGCUUAAAACCCAAAGGACUUGACGGUGCUCCAUAUCCCCCUAGAGGAGCCCGUCCUAUAAUCGAUGAUCCCCGUUUAACCUCACCGCCCCUAGCUUUUUCAGCCUGUAUACUUCCGUCGUCAGCUUACCACAUGAGCGAAAUUCAGUUAGCCUAAUGUCCCAUAAUUAAUUAUAUCGUCAAUACGUCAGGUCAAAGUGCAGCAAAUGAGGCGGGAAGAGAUUGGCUACACUUUUUAAUUUAAAAAAUACGAAAGACAAAAAAUGAAACUUUGUCAGAAGGUGGAUUUAGAAGUAAAGAGAAUUCAUUACACUCUUUUUAACAAGGCACUGGAGCGUGU